Molecule: long non-coding RNA, 948 nt
Filed under: Equus caballus (horse)
Lineage: Eukaryota; Metazoa; Chordata; Mammalia; Perissodactyla; Equidae
Description: lncRNA (ENSECAG00000051214.1)
Source: RNAcentral
UAUUAAUGCAUAAUGUCAUUUCUGGAACUCUUCCAACAGUUAUGGGUCACAAUGACAAUAUGCCACUCCAUUGGCUGAGCACUUGUUUGCAACAAUGAGCUACACAUGUUGGCCAAUACUGCCACAAUUUAACGCUUCUGUUCCUCUUGGCACAUCUGAAUGGGUGGCAUCUGGUCCAAAUUUUGGGUCCCUUUGAGGAUGCGUGAUAGGUAACUCUCAUCUGGAUAGCAGAGACACUUGACCAGCCAAUUACGUAUUCUGGAAUCCAGGAAGUUUAUGUAGGGAGCUUAAACGGAAGAUGCGUCUGAGAAACUCCCAUCAAGAGCACAUCCCAGCUUUUCAACGAUUGUAUAAGCCAGCGUUUGUUAAGUGCUUCCUCUGUCCCAGGAACUCUUUCAAGUGUUUUACGUGUAGUAACUCUUUUCAUAUAUGACCAUCUUAUGAAGUUACUGUGCGUAGCUCCUAGUGGGAUCGCUGGCGUCUACCAGCUUUUCAACUACUAUGGCUCUUCCACCCUGAUCAAAAUCUGCUCCUUCCCCUACUGCCUGGUUGUUGACACUGUAAAGAGACCAGUAACUGAUAACACGAAAUCCCCAGUAUAAACUCUUAUAAGGAUAGUUCCUAGAUCUGUUCUAUGUUUCAGGCACGUACAGCAUUACCACCAGCGCCUCCUCUACCUCAUUGCUCACCCGCCUCUCUGACCCCUGCACAAAUCUCUGUCCAGCAGUCUCACUGGAUGUAAGAAGAAAGGCACAACUGUGGAACAGUGGGGUAGGAUGAGGAAGCAGCAUUCUGGCUGUCUCCAGAAAGCAGUAUCCACACAUUAAAGGGAUGCUUUUACUCUCUUAGUUGGUAUAAUCUUUGUAGUUCCACCCAGUAGACAGACAUUGAGAGAAUGGCAGGCUUCCUAAAAUCUCUAAGUCAAAUUCUCAGUUUUCUGAAAUUAUG